Molecule: non-coding RNA, 952 nt
Filed under: Datnioides microlepis (Indonesian tiger fish)
Lineage: Eukaryota; Metazoa; Chordata; Actinopteri; Lobotiformes; Datnioididae
Description: 12S ribosomal RNA
Rfam family: Bacterial small subunit ribosomal RNA
Source: RNAcentral
CAAAGGCUUGGUCCUGGCCUUACUAACAACUCUAACUAAACUUACACAUGCAAGUAUCCGCACCCCUGUGAGAAUGCCCUACAGUUCCCUGAUUGGGAACAAGGAGCUGGUAUCAGGCACCCUAACCCAUCCGCCCACGACACCUUGCUUAGCCACACCCUCAAGGGAACCUCAGCAGUGACAAACAUUAGGCCAUAAGUGAAAACUUGACUCAGCCAAAGUUAAGAGGGCCGGUAAAACUCGUGCCAGCCACCGCGGUUAUACGAGAGGCCCAAGUUGUUAAUCACCGGCGUAAAGCGUGGUUUAGAAGCCCAGACCCACUAAAGCCGAACACCCUCCAAACUGUCGUACGCUUCCGAGGGUAAGAAACCCAAUUCGCGAAAGUAGCUUUAUAACAUCUGACCCCACGAAAGCCAGGAAACAAACUGGGAUUAGAUACCCCACUAUGCCUGGUCCUAAACAUUGAUGGCACAUCACACCUGCCGUCCGCCAGGGUACUACGAGCAUCAGCUUAAAACCCAAAGGACUUGGCGGUGCUUCAGAUCCACCUAGAGGAGCCUGUUCUAAAACCGAUAACCCCCGUUCAACCUCGCCCCUUUUUGCCUACCCGCCUAUAUACCACCGUCGUCAGCUUACCCUGUGAAGGCCGCAUAGUGAGCAAGACUGGCAUAAAACCCUGAACGUCAGGUCGAGGUGUAGCUAAUAAAGGGGAAAGAAAUGGGCUACAUUCACUAAUUCAGUGUACACGAAUGGUGUAAUGAAAACUUAUACACAGAAGGAGGAUUUAGUAGUAAGCAGCAAAUAGAGAGUCUUGCUGAAUUUGGCUCUGAAGCGCGCACACACCGCCCGUCACUCUCCCCAAGCCCCCAUACCACAUACCUAAACAACCAAAAUCGCUAAGGGGAGGCAAGUCGUAACAUGGUAAGCGUACCGGAAGGUGCGCUUGGUAGAU